Molecule: long non-coding RNA, 714 nt
Filed under: Homo sapiens (human)
Lineage: Eukaryota; Metazoa; Chordata; Mammalia; Primates; Hominidae
Description: HSALNT0224062
Source: RNAcentral
AAAUACCUCUCAUUAUCGGAGGAACCCACUGAGCAUGUCCAUCUUCAUCAGUGUGCUAUGGUGAGACCAGGGCAUCUGAGGAUGGUCUGAAAUGAGGAAGACUCAGGCCAACUCUGAUUCUCUAUACAGGCUGACCCCUAUGGCCUACUAAGAAUGAAUAAUUAAAACUCUAGGAAUCCCAGGGUUUGUUGGAGUUCAGGGUUGUCGCUGAGUGGUGGAAAUAUUGUUCUCAACCAAAAAAAAAAAAAAAAAUGUGGGGAUUACAUGCCAGUACCAUCCACCCCUGCAUUAGAAGUUUUCAUCGAAGAGCUUCAUUUCACAAGCUUUCAGCGUUGAUCUCACCUCCUCGAAGAUGACACAUCUGAUCCCUCUGUCUAAGAUAACAUCUUUAACAUUAAGAAAUCUCAAGUUUUCCAUUUGAGAAAUCUUCUGGAUUCUGCAUUCCAGUGGUUCCACUGAAGCCAGUAGGGCUGAAUACCCCAUGUAGGAACAGACUCAGCACAAGAAUGUAGGUUCUACAUUCUUAUCAUUUCAUUCCCCAUGCCCUAACCAAUCAGUGAUCCCAAUUCCUCAGCCCACUAUUCUCCAAAAUUUCCUUAAAUAUGCCCAUCCAAAACCCCUCAGGGAAGCAGAUUUGAGGUUCCCUUCAGUUCCCUUCUUUGGUUGCCCUAUGAUUAUUAAACUAUUUCUCUACUGCAACUCUUGCUGUUUCAG